GGAGAGAUGGCCGAGUGGCUGAAGGCGCACGCUUGGAAAGCGUGUAUACCCUCACAGGUAUCGAGGGUUCGAAUCCCUCUCUCUCCG
This 87-nucleotide transfer RNA is filed under the name Bradymonas sediminis. It matches the Rfam family "tRNA". Rfam says of the family: Transfer RNA (tRNA) molecules are approximately 80 nucleotides in length. Their secondary structure includes four short double-helical elements and three loops (D, anti-codon, and T loops). Lineage: Bacteria; Deltaproteobacteria; Bradymonadales; Bradymonadaceae. The record is from Rfam by way of RNAcentral.